AGGACGAACGCUGGCGGCGUGCUUAACACAUGCAAGUCGAACGGAAAGGCCCUUCGGGGUACUCGAGUGGCGAACGGGUGAGUAACACGUGAGCAAUCUGCCCCUAGCUCUGGGAUAGCUCCGGGAAACCGGGAUUAAUACCAGAUAUUACUACGGCCGACAUCAGCUGUGGUGGAAAGAAUUUCGGCUAGGGAUGAGCUCGCGGCCUAUCAGCUUGUUGGUGGGGUAAAGGCCCACCAAGGCGACGACGGGUAGCCGGCCUGAGAGGGCGACCGGCCACACUGGGACUGAGACACGGCCCAGACUCCUACGGGAGGCAGCAGUGGGGAAUAUUGCGCAAUGGGCGAAAGCCUGACGCAGCGACGCCGCGUGCGGGAUGAAGGCCUUCGGGUUGUAACCGCUUUCAGCAGGGACGAAGCGAAAGUGACGGUACCUGCAGAAGAAGCGCCGGCUAACUACGCGCCAGCAGCCGC
RNAcentral lists this ribosomal RNA (473 nucleotides) under uncultured bacterium. RNAcentral describes it as "SSU rRNA". It matches the Rfam family "Bacterial small subunit ribosomal RNA", at positions 26 to 518 of the family's 1533-position model. The record is from RNAcentral.